RNAcentral lists this ribosomal RNA (437 nucleotides) under uncultured bacterium. RNAcentral's name for it is "partial 16S ribosomal RNA". It matches the Rfam family "Bacterial small subunit ribosomal RNA", at positions 29 to 507 of the family's 1533-position model. The record is from RNAcentral.
AGCGAACGCUGGCGGCAGGCUUAACACAUGCAAGUCGAGCGGGCAUCCUUGUGGUGUCAGCGGCAGACGGGCGAGUAACGCGUGGGAACGUGCCCUUCGGUUCGGAAUAACUCAGGGAAACUUGAGCUAAUACCGGAUACGUGCUAGAACAGCAAGGUUUAUCUGCCGCAGGGUCGGCCCGCGUCUGAUUAGCUAGUUGGUGAGGUUACGGCUCACCAAGGCGACGAUCAGUAGCUGGUCAGAGAGGAUGAUCAGCCACACUGGGACUGAGACACGGCCCAGACUCCUACGGGAGGCAGCAGUGGGGAAUAUUGGACAAUGGGGUCAAUCCUGAUCCAGCCAGGCCGCGUGAGUGAUGACGGCGUUAGGGUUGUAAAGCUCUUUUCUCCGGGACGAUAAUGACGGUACCGGAGGAAUAAGCCCCGGCUAACUUCGUG